This 458-nucleotide ribosomal RNA is filed under the name uncultured bacterium. RNAcentral describes it as "partial 16S ribosomal RNA". It matches the Rfam family "Bacterial small subunit ribosomal RNA", at positions 338 to 795 of the family's 1533-position model. The record is from RNAcentral.
CCUACGGGAGGCAGCAGUGAGGAAUAUUGGUCAAUGGGCGAGAGCCUGAACCAGCCAAGUCGCGUGAGGGAGUACUGCCCUAUGGGUUGUAAACCUCUUUUGUCGGGGAGCAAAAGCCGGACGUGUCCGGCUGUGAGAGUACCCGAAGAAAAAGCAUCGGCUAACUCCUUGCCGGCAGCCGCGGUAAUUGGGAGGAUGCUAGCGUGUUCCGGAUUUAUUGGGUUAAAAGGGUGCGCAGGCGGAUUUUUAAGUCAGCGGUCAAAUCGUGGGGCUAAACCCCAUCCAGCAGUUGAAACUGGGGAUCUAGAGUGUGCGAAAGGUAUGCGGAAUGCGUGGUGUAGCGGUGAAAUGCAUAGAUAUCACGCAGAACCCCGAUUGCGAAGGCAGCAUACCGGUGAACAACUGACGCUCAGGCACGAAAGCGUGGGUAUCGAACAGGAUUAGAUACCCUUGUAGUC